This 1505-nucleotide ribosomal RNA is filed under the name metagenome. RNAcentral describes it as "bacterial LSU rRNA". It matches the Rfam family "Bacterial large subunit ribosomal RNA", at positions 1394 to 2925 of the family's 2925-position model. The record is from RNAcentral.
AGGCGAGGACGAGAGUCGUAGCCGAUGGACAACAGGUGGAGAUUCCUGUACUGCGGUAUGACAGAACUGUGGGGACACGUAAGGAAAGCGGAAGCCGGGAAUGGAAAGCCCGGUGCAAGCGGGGUACCAGUCACUUUGGCAAAUCCGGGUGGCAAUGGGAAUCCGUGAUGCGGAGCGAAAUAAAGUAGCGAAGUCCGUGAGCCAUGCGUCAAGAAAAGCCGCUAUUGUUUAUACCGUACCCGUACCGUAAACCGACACAGGUGGAUGAGGAGAGAAUCCUAAGGCCGGCGGAAGAAGCAUUGUCAAGGAACUCGGCAAAAUGGCCCCGUAACUUAGGGAUAAGGGGUGCCUGGGAAACCAGGCCGCAGAGAAUAGGCUCAAGCAACUGUUUAGCAAAAACACAGGUCUAUGCGAAACCGAAAGGUGAGGUAUAUGGGCUGACGCCUGCCCGGUGCUGAAGGUUAAGAGGAGAGGUUAGCGUAAGCGAAGCUUUGAAUUUAAGCCCCAGUAAACGGCGGCCGUAACAAUAACGGUCCUAAGGUAGCGAAAUUCCUUGUCGGGUAAGUUCCGACCCGCACGAAAGGCGUAAUGAUUUGAGCGCUGUCUCGACAAUGCAUCCGGUGAAAUUGAAGUACCAGUGAAGAUGCUGGUUACCUGCGCCAGGACGGAAAGACCCCAUGGAGCUUUACUCCAGUUUGGUACUGGGACUCGGUAUUGCAUGUACAGGAUAGGUGGGAGGCUGAGAGACAGUAACGCCAGUUAUUGUGGAGCCGCUGUUGGGAUACCACCCUUGCAGUAUUGGGUUUCUAACCAGCCGCCGUGACCCGGCGGUGGGACAAUGCCAGACGGGGAGUUUGACUGGGGCGGUCGCCUCCGAAAGGGUAUCGGAGGCGCCCAAAGGUUCCCUCAGAAUGGACGGAAACCAUUCGAAGAGUGCAAAGGCAGAAGGGAGCUUGACUGCGACACCGACGGGUGGAGCAGGUACGAAAGUAGGGCUUAGUGAUCCGGUGGUAUUAAGUGGGAAUGCCAUCGCUCAACGGAUAAAAGCUACCCUGGGAUAACAGGCUUAUCACUCCCAAGAGUUCACAUCGACGGAGUGGUUAGGCACCUCGAUGUCGGCUCAUCGCAUCCUGGAGCUGUAGUAGGUCCCGAGGGUUGGGCUGUUCGCCCAUUAAAGCGGUACGCGAGCUGGGUUCAGAACGUCGUGAGACAGUUCGGUCCCUAUCCGGCGUGGGCGUAGGAUAUCUGAGAGGAGCUGUCCUUAGUACGAGAGGACCGGGAUGGACGGGCCGCUGGUGCAUCGGUUAGACUGCCAAGUCUACGGCCGAGUAGCCAAGCCCGGAAGGGAUAAACGCUGAAGGCAUCUAAGCGUGAAGCCCCCCUUAAGAUGAGAUAUCCCAUUCGUGAGAAGUAAACCCCCUUGAAGACGACGAGGUAGAUAGGGCAGAGGUGGAAGUGUGGCAACACAUGGAGCUGACUGUUACUAAUCGGGUGAGGGCUUGACC